CAGAGACGCCUUUUUCUUCGGACAUUUUGCAAGGUGCUGCAUGGUUGUCGUCAGCUCGUGCCGUGAGGUGUCAGGUUAAGUCCUAUAACGAGCGCAACCCUUGCCGUCAGUUGCCAACAGGUAAAGCUGGGGACUCUGGCGGGACUGCCGGUGCAAACCGUGAGGAAGGUGGGGACGACGUCAAAUCAUCACGGCCCUUACGUCCUGGGCUACACACGUGCUACAAUGGCCGGUACAGAGAGCAGCCAUCGGGUAACCGAGAGCGAAUCUAUAAAACCGGUCACAGUUCGGAUCGGGGUCUGCAACCCGACCCCGUGAAGCUGGAAUCGCUAGUAAUCGGAUAUCAGCCAUGAUCCGGUGAAUACGUUCCCGGGCCUUGUACACACCGCCCGUCAAGCCAUGGAAGCCGGGGGUACCUGAAGUCCGUCACCGCAAGGAGCGGCCUAGGGUAAGACCGGUAACUAGGACUAAGUCGUAACAAGGUAGCCGUACCGGAAGGU
RNAcentral lists this ribosomal RNA (500 nucleotides) under uncultured bacterium. RNAcentral describes it as "bacterial SSU rRNA". It matches the Rfam family "Bacterial small subunit ribosomal RNA", at positions 1001 to 1513 of the family's 1533-position model. The record is from RNAcentral.